This is a small nuclear RNA of Loxodonta africana (African savanna elephant), 107 nucleotides long. The record is from Ensembl. NCBI's taxonomy places the organism in Eukaryota, Metazoa, Chordata, Mammalia, Proboscidea, Elephantidae.
GUGCUCACUUUGGCAGCACAUAUACUAAAAUUGGAACCAUACAGAGAAGAUUAGCAUGACCCCUGCAGAAGGAUGACAGGCAAAUUUGUGAAACAUUCUAUAUUUUU